UUGAAACCAAAAUGCACCCACGUGCCGACCAUGCGAUAGGAACCCAGCUGGGAAUAAACAUUUCCCCCAUUCCACGACCAAUAGUCAUACAUGCGGCUGACCAGGAGGCCCUUGACUCGGAUGUGCACAAUGAUUCACCAGUCAAGAAAUUCAAGGUACAGACACAUGAAGGAAAAGUUUCAACCUAGCGCGGGUAAACGGCGGGAGUAACCACGACUCUAGAGAUAGACCCAGUACAUCCGUCCAAGUUAUAAAACGAAUCGUGAUGGGCAUAUGUAGACCGCAAGACAAAAUAGCGCCAACAGUCCCACCCGGUAUAGACAGGGGUACAAUGUGCCAUGAAGUUCCAAGCCAGAUACAAACACCUUCCCAUUCAGGAAGAGAGGUCGGACGACAAUGGAAAGAAAGGUCAAAGAAUGGUGCUUGGGGACUCGCUAUGCAGGGGGAUUGCGGGCGAUAUACCCAACUGCUCAGUAAUAAGCAAACCAGGAGCUAACCUGAAGCGAAUGCAAAAAAUAAUAACCAAUUUAAAUGUGCUGUAAACAAGACUGUAAAAAGAAGACUAUGGACGAAAAGCACGGGAACACAAAGGACAAGUCAAGGCCACGAAUAACUGCAAAUGUAGAUCAUGAUCAUUUGCAAGUGAUGGAAUCGGAU
This 657-nucleotide long non-coding RNA is filed under the name Haliotis rufescens (red abalone). RNAcentral's name for it is "uncharacterized LOC125381022, transcript variant X1". The record is from RNAcentral. Lineage: Eukaryota; Metazoa; Mollusca; Gastropoda; Lepetellida; Haliotidae.